CAUGCAAAGGCCUUUCCCAAGCCUCAAUUCCAUCAUAAUCUCUGCCAUUCCUUCCAAACUGCAGUUCUGUUUUGCAGACCUAUACUUUUUUCAACAUUCCUCUUAUCUGCCUCUAGAGUCACAAAAUGUUAGAAAUGGAANNNNNNNNNNUCGCAGUCACAGAAAAUGGAAUGCAUUUGCCAUUUUCUCUGGAAAUAAAGAUUACCAUUGUGUUCACUAAGAUUUUUGACAAACACCUGCAAGCUACCUCCUUCUUCAAUCUUAGAUGUCACAUUUGAGGCCAAUGCAAUAGUGAACCACUUUCCACUAACCUGUGGAAAAGAGUUUAGAUGAGAGUUGAAAAAAGACGUCCCUGGUCACAUAGGCUCAUUGUAUUUUUACACUUGGAAGGACCAUAGUCCAAAUCCCUCGUUAUACUAGUGAGGAAACUGAGACUUCAAAGAUACAGUAUAUCUUUACUCCAAUCCUACCUGCUUCAUGCAUUAUCUUCAUAGUAAAGCAAUAAGCUCAUGAGACUAGGAGUUAGGAAAUUUGAGUUCUAGUCUGGCUCUGAUAGUAACUCACUCUGUGACUUUUGGCAAGUUGUUUAACUGUUUGGUACCCUGGUUUGCUCAUUUGUCCAAUGCAGGGGUCGAAAAUAUGUAGCUUUGAGGCCACAUGUGGCCUUCAAGGUCCUUGGGUAUGGCCUUUUGAAUGAAUCUGAGUUUUACAAAACAAAAACUUUUAUUAAGAGGAUUUGUUCUGUGAAGUUUGGAUUCAGUCAAAGGGCCACACUUAAGGACUUAGAGGGCCAUGUGUGGCCUUGAGGCCACAGGUUCUCCCACUUCCUCCCCCCACCCCACUACCCCAAGAUGGGUCUAACUGUAUUUGCACAAUGUGUUUCAUGGCAUUAUUCUAUUGAUAACAUUAUUUUUACUUCUCUUACUAUGUAUUUUGGACUUAGAUGUCACUGGUAAUUUUUUAAGUUAUUUGUGGAUUAAGGAGAGAGAUUGUCACAGGAAGGUGAAAGAUCCUUACUGGGGUCCUAAAAGUAAUUCUCCCUGAUUACUUAUGAGAGACAUGUGUUCAUUCUUUGACUCUAACCACUCAUGGUUCUGGGGGAUUCCUUUCCCCCAACUCUAUCUAGAUGUGAGAUAACUCCUUAUCACAAAAUUCAUUUGUCAUCUAAUCCCAGUACAUGUGCAGAACAAAAGCCCUCAAGCUACCAUCUGAAUAUUAUUAGCAAAACUGGUUUAAAUGGCAGGUCACAGAAAAGGAGACUUGCUGGAAUUUAUCAUCUCAUUUACUAGUGCAACCAGAAGCAGAGAGCACAGAUUUCAAUUACAGUUUUUUUGAAGGAAUAGCAUCUCAUGGUUUCAGCAUCUUACAGUGAGAAAAUUCUUAUAGAUGAUCCAGUGCAACCCUUCAUUGAACAGAUGUAGAAUCUGUUUUAUGGGUUUAUGCUGUGAUGAGUUAGUCUUGGGGGCUAUUUUUAUUCUAGUUAUUUAAAAGAAAUAAGUAAUGAGCAUGCACUCAUGUGUAACUUGAUAUUUUGUGCUGACUUUAAUCAUUGCUAGGUGAUACAACUAUUGGGAAGGAUAGUUUUGAGUGAGAAGACACAAAUGCACAUCUUUUCCUUUCAGCUGCAAGCUCUAUUUUUGCUUUAUUCUUCCCAAAGAUGUUCUGUUUUCUUUACCUGUUACCCUCACACCUUUGCCACACCACUCUAUCGACCUGUUCCCAUUCUUGCUCACUUACCUUUGGUGAGCCUUCUUCAUUGUUAUCGAGGGCCUGGAGACCACAGACCAAGGCCAGCCCCACAGUGAGCAGGAGAAUCUUCAUCUUCUCAAAGGUUUAUCUCUGAUGCUUCAGCAGCACCUGAAUGUCUGAGGAUUCUAAUGAAUACUCUGGCCAUCUAGUCAGCUGCCUUUAUACCUCAUUCUGGGGCAGGGUUCCUGAUGAUGUGGCACUAAGGGCACGCUAAUCCUUCAAAGUGUACUUUAUUCAGAGUCACAAGCCAGUGAGUAAUUGCUAGUCAAGGAUUACAAAUACAGAUUAGUAAAGCAGUUUUUGUCAACAAAAAAUUAAUAAUUCUGAAAUGCAAAUUUCCAAGAUUAACAGACACCGUUAGGUUUGGCCAGCUGCUUCAGAUUAACUCUAUGUCUAUCCUGAGACCAGAACAUACAGUUCCUAUGUUUUGUUGUCCUAGUGUCAGUCAGGCAAUUAACUUCUCAGAAAAAAUUACACUGAGUUCACCAUUUUAAAAAAAAGUGUUGAAACUUGCCUACAAAGCACAUACAGUCUUUUCUUAGGUAAUGUGGAAAGAGUGCCCAAACAAGGAAAUAUUUCUCAUCACUAUCUGCAAGCUCUCCGUCUAAUUGUCGAAAUUCAAUAAACACUUAUUAAGCAUCUACUGUCUGCA
Molecule: long non-coding RNA, 2401 nt
Organism: Vombatus ursinus (common wombat)
Lineage: Eukaryota; Metazoa; Chordata; Mammalia; Diprotodontia; Vombatidae
Source: Ensembl